CCUACGGGAGGCAGCAGUAGGGAAUCUUUCACAAUGGGCGAAAGCCUGAUGGAGCAACGCCGCGUGCAGGAUGAAGGCCUUCGGGUUGUAAACUGCUUUUAUAAGCGAGAAAUAUGAUGGUAACUUAUGAAUAAGGAUCGGCUAACUAAGUGCCAGCAGCCGCGGUCAUACGUAGGAUCCGAGCAUUAUCCGGAGUGACUGGGUGUAAAGAGUUGCGUAGGUGGCAUAAUAAUUAGCUAGUGAAAUCUGGUGGCUCAACCAUUCAGACUAUUAGCUAAACUGUUAAGCUCGAGACCGGUAGGGGUAACUGGAAUUUUUAGUGUAGGAGUGAAAUCCGUAGAGAUUAGAAGGAACACCAAUAGCGUAGGCAGGUUGCUGGGACGGUUCUGACACUAAGGCACGAAAGCGUAGGGAGCAAACGGGAUUAGAUACCCUAGUAGUC
RNAcentral lists this ribosomal RNA (442 nucleotides) under uncultured bacterium. RNAcentral describes it as "partial 16S ribosomal RNA". It matches the Rfam family "Bacterial small subunit ribosomal RNA", at positions 338 to 795 of the family's 1533-position model. The record is from RNAcentral.